UGCAAAAUGGAGUAGUUAGGUAGCUUGCCGGUUUCAUAGUCCGGAGGUCGUAGGUUCAAAUCCUGCUUUUGCAA
RNAcentral lists this transfer RNA (74 nucleotides) under Synura synuroidea. Its description in RNAcentral is "tRNA-Met". It matches the Rfam family "tRNA". From Rfam's summary of the family: Transfer RNA (tRNA) molecules are approximately 80 nucleotides in length. Their secondary structure includes four short double-helical elements and three loops (D, anti-codon, and T loops). The record is from RNAcentral. Lineage: Eukaryota; Synurophyceae; Synurales; Mallomonadaceae.